GGGGAUGUAGUUCAGUGGUAGAGUGCAUGCCUAGCAUGAGUAAGGGCCUGGUUUUCAUCCCCA
This 63-nucleotide transfer RNA is filed under the name Heterocephalus glaber (naked mole-rat). It matches the Rfam family "tRNA". From Rfam's summary of the family: Transfer RNA (tRNA) molecules are approximately 80 nucleotides in length. Their secondary structure includes four short double-helical elements and three loops (D, anti-codon, and T loops). Further hydrogen bonds mediate the characteristic L-shaped molecular structure. tRNAs have two regions of fundamental functional importance: the anti-codon, which is responsible for specific mRNA codon recognition, and the 3' end, to which the tRNAs corresponding amino acid is attached (by aminoacyl-tRNA synthetases). tRNAs cope with the degeneracy of the genetic code in two manners: having more than one tRNA (with a specific anti-codon) for a particular amino acid; and 'wobble' base-pairing, i.e. permitting non-standard base-pairing at the 3rd anti-codon position. Lineage: Eukaryota; Metazoa; Chordata; Mammalia; Rodentia; Bathyergidae. The record is from Rfam by way of RNAcentral.